RNAcentral lists this non-coding RNA (210 nucleotides) under Eubacterium sp. RNAcentral describes it as "T-box sequence". It matches the Rfam family "T-box leader". Rfam says of the family: Uncharged tRNA acts as the effector for transcription antitermination of genes in the T-box leader family. The record is from RNAcentral. Lineage: Bacteria; Bacillati; Bacillota; Clostridia; Eubacteriales; Eubacteriaceae.
UCAAACGCGUUGAAAAAGCUUAAGGAAAGCGAUGCGCAUUUUAAGAGAGCCGCUGUUCGGUGCGAAGCGGUAUUCGGCGUUUUCCGUCGUCACUUUUGAGCGUCUUUGCCGAAACUACAUUAAGCAAAGACGGUUUGCCGCCGUUAAAGGCACAGAGCGGCCGUUUUUUACGGCAAAAUGAGUGGUACCGCGGUAAUUUUCGCCUCAUAC